CAGGUGACCAUAGAGUGCAAGGGGCGGAGCUACAGCCUGGCGCGAGGAACCGUUAAGAUGGACAACGAGUAGGACCAAUGAGGUACUCUGACUAGGACGUUGGGAACCCAAUAACAGUGGCCGGGCGGGCGCCUUCCCCGAGCGCGGGGAGAUCUGAAGACAGACAAACAGUUUUCCCAAUGAGACUGUAGAGGAGAAGUGCUAAUUGACCAAUGAGGACUGCGGGGCGGGAGCCUUUGCCGCGGCGGAGUCCAAGAUGGCGGCGUGCGGUUCCGCUGUGUGAAGCGAGCGCGGGGCGGCGGGUUCACCAGCUCCGCGAAGACGACCUCCGGCGACCCGCAACAAUGAAGGGGAAAGAGCGCUCCCCAGUCAAGCCCAAACGCUCGCGUGGUGGCGAGGACUCGACUUCCCGCGGGGAGCGGAGCAAGAAGUUAGGGGGCUCUGGUGGCAGCAAUGGGAGCAGCAGCGGAAAGACCGACAGCGGCGGCGGGUCGCGGCGCAGCCUUCACCUGGACAAGUCCAGCAGCCGAGGGGGCAGCCGCGAGUAUGACACCGGUGGGGGCAGCUCCAGUAGCCGCUUGCACAGUUACAGCUCCCCGAGCACCAAAAAUUCCUCGGGCGGGGGCGAGUCGCGCAGCAGCUCCCGGGGUGGAGGCGGGGAGUCACGUUCCUCUGGGGCCGCCUCCUCAGCUCCUGGCGGCGGGGACGGCGGGGAAUACAAGACGCUGAAGAUAAGCGAGUUGGGGUCCCAGCUGAGUGACGAAGCUGUGGAGGACGGACUGUUUCACGAGUUCAAACGCUUCGGUGAUGUAAGUGUCAAAAUCAGUCAUCUCUCGGGUUCUGGCAGCGGGGAUGAGCGAGUAGCCUUUGUGAACUUCCGGCGGCCAGAGGACGCGCGGGCGGCCAAGCAUGCCAGAGGCCGCCUGGUGCUCUAUGACCGGCCCCUGAAGAUAGAAGCGGUGUAUGUGAGCCGGCGCCGCAGCCGUUCCCCUUUAGACAAAGAUGCUUAUCCCCCGUCAGCCGGCGUGGUCGGGGCCUCUGUAGGUGGUCACCGGCACCCGCCUGGAGGAGGUGGUGGCGGCCAGAGAUCACUUUCCCCUGGUGGCGCAGCCUUGGGAUACAGAGACUACCGGUUGCAGCAAUUGGCUCUUGGCCGCCUGCCUCCUCCACCUCCGCCACCGUUGCCCCGAGAGCUAGAGAGGGAGCGAGACUACCCGUUCUAUGAGAGAGUGCGCCCAGCAUACAGUCUUGAGCCAAGGGUGGGAGCUGGAGCAGGUGCUGCUCCUUUCAGAGAAGUGGAUGAGAUCUCACCCGAGGAUGAUCAGCGAGCUAACCGGACGCUUUUCUUGGGCAACCUAGACAUCACUGUGACAGAGAGUGAUCUGAGAAGGGCUUUUGACCGCUUUGGAGUCAUCACAGAAGUAGACAUCAAAAGGCCUUCUCGGGGCCAGACCAGUACCUAUGGCUUUCUCAAAUUUGAGAACCUAGACAUGUCUCACCGGGCCAAACUAGCAAUGUCUGGCAAAAUUAUAAUUCGGAAUCCUAUCAAAAUUGGUUAUGGUAAAGCAACACCCACCACCCGCCUCUGGGUAGGUGGCCUGGGACCUUGGGUGCCUCUUGCUGCCCUGGCUCGAGAGUUUGACAGAUUUGGCACAAUACGUACCAUAGACUACCGCAAAGGUGAUAGUUGGGCGUAUAUCCAGUAUGAAAGCCUGGAUGCAGCUCAUGCUGCCUGGACCCAUAUGCGGGGCUUCCCCCUCGGUGGCCCAGAUCGUCGCCUUAGAGUAGACUUUGCAGACACAGAACAUCGUUACCAGCAGCAAUAUCUGCAGCCCCUGCCGUUAACUCAUUAUGAAUUGGUAACAGAUGCUUUUGGACAUCGGGCACCUGACCCUUUGAGGGGGGCUCGGGAUAGGACGCCACCCUUACUAUACAGAGAUCGUGAUAGAGACCUUUAUGCUGACUCUGAUUGGGUGCCACCCCCACCCCCAGUCCGUGAACGCAGCACUCGGACUGCAGCUACUGCUGUACCUGCUUAUGAGCCACUGGAUAGCCUGGAUCGCAGGCGGGAUGGCUGGUCCUUGGACCGGGACAGAGGUGAGCGAGAUCUGCCCAGCAGCAGAGACCAGCCUAGGAAGCGAAGGCUGCCAGAGGAGAGUGGUGGGCGGCAUCUGGAUAGGUCCCCUGAGAGCGACCGUCCACGAAAACGUCACUGCGCUCCUUCUCCUGACCGCAGUCCAGAAUUGAGCAGUAGCCGGGAUCGCUACAACAGUGACAAUGAUCGAUCCUCGCGUCUUGUCUUGGAAAGGCCCUCUCCAAUCAGAGACAGACGAGGUAGUUUGGAGAAGAGCCAGGGUGACAAGCGAGACCGUAAAAACUCCGCAUCAGCUGAACGGGAUAGGAAGCACCGGACAGCUGCUCCCACUGAGGGAAAAAGUCCUUUGAAAAAAGAAGACCGGUCUGAUGGGAGUGCAGCCAGCACCAGCACUGCUUCGUCGAAGCUGAAGUCCCCUUCCCAGAAACAGGAUGGUGGGACAGCCCCUGCAGCAGCAGCCUCUCCCAAACUCUGUUUGGCCUGGCAGGGCAUGCUUCUAUUGAAGAACAGCAACUUUCCUUCCAACAUGCAUCUGUUGCAAGGAGACCUCCAAGUGGCUAGUAGUCUUCUUGUGGAGGGCUCGACUGGAGGCAAAGUGGCUCAGCUCAAGAUCACUCAGCGUCUUCGUUUGGACCAGCCCAAGUUGGAUGAAGUAACUCGACGCAUCAAAGUGGCAGGGCCCAAUGGUUAUGCCAUUCUUCUGGCUGUGCCUGGAAGUUCUGACAGCAGAUCCUCCUCUUCCUCCGCCACGUCAGACACUGCCACCUCUACUCAGAGGCCACUUAGGAACCUUGUGUCCUAUUUAAAGCAAAAGCAGGCCGCUGGGGUGAUCAGCCUCCCUGUGGGGGGCAACAAAGACAAAGAAAACACCGGGGUCCUUCAUGCCUUCCCACCCUGUGAGUUCUCCCAGCAGUUCCUGGAUUCCCCUGCCAAGGCACUGGCCAAAUCUGAAGAAGAUUACCUGGUCAUGAUCAUUGUCCGUGGUGCGUCCUAAAGUCCAUGUGUAACGUGUAUUUAAUACUUUGACAUGGUUCCUGUUUUGUGAUGUGUAAUGGGAUACAGCAUCAGAUGAAAUUUUCUUUUUAAUUAGUUGUUUAGUUGUAGUUUUUUUCUUUUUUAUAUUUUUAUAAACCUUUAAAAUAGAAGUCAAGACACUUUAGCUAUUAUUUUAAGUGAAAGGGAUGCCCUUGUAGGUAGCAGGCAGGUGGAUUUACUUUAAUUAGGAGUUCCUACUCUUAUGAGUAACUUGUUUUCCUCUUUUUCUUCAUUUUUUUUUCUUUUUUAACCUUGAGCUUAAAAAAAUCCUCAAAGUAACAAAACCAAAAUUUUGACAAGUCAGAAUUUGGAGAAGAGCCCACUGACUAUAUAAAGAUGGUAAUAGACACCUAAAGAUGGCUUCAUUGCAAAACUGGUGAACAGCGGAUGAAGAUAUGGAAUUCAAAGCUCUAAUGGACCUUUUUGAAGAGAAGUUGUGGCUUAUGUGGAGUUUACAUGGGCCUCUUGAUGGAAGAAAGCUAAUCUGUUUAGUAUUUGUGCAUUUUACUAAAAUGGCAGCUUAAAGUUGUGUAUCUGCUAUUGUGAUGCCAAUGCCGGUGUUUUAAGUGGAAAAAAAAUGACCUCUUGCUUUGUGCUGUGUACACAAGAUUUCUGGAAAAGUAAAGAAAAACCCUUUUUAUGGCUCACACAGCUUAAAAGUAGCUGUCACUCAAACGUGCGCUCACAGUUGAGCUGCUUUUGUUUUAUUCUAAAUAAAUUGUUUCUUUUGAGGAAAA
RNA transcript from Equus quagga, 3867 nucleotides. It is a transcript of the gene named RNA binding motif protein 15, with no coding region annotated. Lineage: Eukaryota; Metazoa; Chordata; Mammalia; Perissodactyla; Equidae. The record is from RefSeq and is a predicted model, not a curated record. The transcript is spliced from 2 exons.